RNA transcript from Tympanuchus pallidicinctus (lesser prairie-chicken), 5768 nucleotides. It is a transcript of the gene named TAFA chemokine like family member 2, with no coding region annotated. The transcript has 6 exons. The record is from RefSeq and is a predicted model, not a curated record. NCBI's taxonomy places the organism in Eukaryota, Metazoa, Chordata, Aves, Galliformes, Phasianidae.
UGCCCGGCCGUGGCGCGGCGGGGUCCCGGGAGAGCGCGGCACCCCGGGGAUCCGCUCCUUUCCGGUGGCCACGUGUGCGCGGGUGUGAAACUUAGCAGCCCCUCGUCCCACUGUUAAGAGGGGAGGGGACGAGAGAGAAGGAAGAGCCGCGCGUGAGGCGGCGGCUCAGCUCCGCUGUGCGCGGGCAGUGGGGAGGCGGCGGGUGCCGCUGCGGAGCGCUCCCAGCUUAGACAGCCGAGGGACCGAGCGGGCAGGAGACACACGGAGCAGACACACGGCCGGGAGGAGACGGGGUCCCCCACCCCCGGCACUGCGCGCUGGGAGCUGCCCGUGCCGCCCCUGGGCUCCUCCGCGCUCCUGCGCGGUGCGGAACCAAGCGCGCAGGCGGCGGCUGCUGCUGCUGCAGGUGAAGCCCUCUCUCUCCGUUUACUUUUCCCAAGAGGGAGAAGAAGGCAGCAGGAGGGGGACGCGGCGCCGUGCGGGGCGGGCAGGCCAAUCAGCGCCGCUGUAACGCAGGGAUCGCUGCAGGACGCGCCGGGUUUUCCUCCCAUCUUCUGCUGCCGGGGCUGAAUCGGGACCGCACGGACCGGCGGAGCCGCACCGGGCUGCAGGACUUCCUCACCCGCCGCUUCUCCGGCAGUGAAUCCCUAUACUUCUCCUAUUUUUUUUUUUUUCCCCCCUUUUUUAAUACUCUGAAAUCGUCCACGAGAGACAUUUCGUGUCUCCCUUCUUUCCCCACGCACUUAACACCUCCAGCGGCAUCACCCCGCAGAAUCCCCGCUUUCUCCGGGGGAGGCUGAGCCGGGCACGGAGCCGCUCCAUGCCGCGGGCCGUGUGCCGGCGAUGCCCGGGCGCUGAGGCCGGAGCUCCCCGUUGACGGGAGGCGGCCGAGCGCGGGGUGCUUCCAGCAGCGCGGAGCGGCCGCAGGAUGAAUAAGAGAUACUUACAGAAAGCAACAAAAGGGAAGCUGCUAAUAAUAAUAUUUGUUGUAACGCUGUGGGGGAAAUUAGCAUCUGGAGCAAAUCAUCAUAAAGCUCACCAUGUUAAAACUGGGACCUGUGAAGUGGUGGCACUCCACAGAUGUUGCAAUAAGAACAAGAUAGAAGAAAGAUCACAGACAGUGAAGUGCUCCUGCUUCCCUGGGCAGGUAGCAGGUACCACCCGGGCAGCUCCUUCUUGUGUUGAUGCUUCAAUAGUGGAGCAGAAAUGGUGGUGCCACAUGCAACCAUGUCUUGAAGGGGAGGAGUGUAAAGUUCUUCCAGAUCGUAAGGGAUGGAGCUGUUCCUCUGGGAAUAAAGUGAAAACAACUAGGCUGUGGCAGUAUUCGUGGAGCCAAAUGUGAGUGCACUACCUCAAAAUGCCAGCAGUGGAAGCUGGUAAGCAAGUGGGGGAAAAUCACCAAAGGAAUCUGGAGCUUGGGACAAAGGUAGAAAACACAUCAGUACUGCACUAACAAAGCAGCAGGUACCCUCAUAGAGGAGAUAAAAUUACAGGUAAGGAAAUAAUUUAUGUUUCUAUUUUGAUUUCAUCCAAAUGGCUUGUUAUUCUUCAUUCAAAAUCCCUAGAAAAAUAACACACCUGGGGAUAACACAUUACUAGGGAUAAUUUGAAGUUCAAUCUUAGACAGUUUCUGGAAAAAUAUAUUAGAAGGUGAAAAUCCAUUUUAGCUACUAGGUAAUUUAAAAACUCAACCUAGUUUAAAAUAAUGACUUCCUUUUUGUUAGCAUAUUAGACUCGUAGCUCAUUGGUAGAGGUUUCACUUUCCAAUCAAGAAUAAUAGUAGGUUAUUUAGAUUAGUGCUGUAAGUUUGAGUGAAAGACAAAAGGACUCUGCUUUUCCCUUUACUUUCUCAGAGUUAGCAGGGUAGUAUGACUCUAUAAUCCUUCAGAUUGCCUUGUUGUAAAAAGGACUGAGGUUAUUUUUGUCUUCCUUUUGUGACUAUUAGAUGGUGUAAAACAGAAGAAAAUUACAUUUUUUUAAUUAAUUGUCUUGCAGUCUUUUAUGUCGUCAUGCUGCAGUCCCACUGUGGAGUUGUGAUCACCUCCAAAAACCACAAGAGGAUAUAUCCUUGUCUGAAUUACUACAGUUAUUAUCUGUUACAGAAAGUAAAAUAAGGUUUAUGUUUAAGUCUUCUCUCAAUACAAAACUUUUGUCUGUAAAUGAAAAAUUUCGUGAAGUUUUAACAGUCUAACAUAAACUUGAUUUCUCUGCUGAAUUACAGAAUCACUGAGAAAGUUUAGUUAUGGACAUUGUAGUGACAUUGUCUUUUGGAAGAGAUUAACAACAAAAUACAUUUGAAAAAGUAAUGAAUUAUAUUUAUCUUUGACAUAACUCAAAUGUCUUCAUCAGUUAUAUACUAUGAUAAUUGUCCCAGUGCAUUAUAUCAAUUACAUUUAUUUUGUAAAAUAUCAAAUUCAAGUGAAUGUGAAUCCAGAGCCACAUUUAUUUCUCUGAUAAUAUUUUAAAUAUGUAGUUAUUUUAUUAAAUCAAGGGACCAUCCAACUUAUGAGUUUUAUCUUGUAAUAGACGUUUCUAAUAAUCUGCAGUAGGACAUUUAUGUUAAAAGGUCUAAUAGAAAAAGAAAAAAAGGAAGAUAAUUAUCUUUCGUAAGCAUUAUUUAAAGAAAAUAAGUUGGUCUUUUGAGGUGCUGUGAAACCCUUUUCAGAAGCAGUCAGAAUUUAUCAGCAAAUCCAAAACUUAUCUAAAAAAUCUCAAAAGAUAAGGAAAUAGGUGCCUGAAUUAAACAGCAUGUUUUGAUGUUAUUUUAUGGUGUUUCCUGUAGCCUACUAGCCAUAGAAGAGACUGUAAGUAGAGUUCUCCUCUGAAUGCACAUUUUUGUCAAACUUGAUGCAAUUGAGUUCUUUUGCUUUUGUUUUGUGGUUUUUUUUUUAAAUGUAUUUAAUGUAUUUUUUAACGUUAAGAAAACACUCAAGUCUUUCAUUUAGAAGGAAAUGUAUUCUGGUCACAUGUCUCUUAUUUGUAUCAAAGUUCUAUUCUAUUCAAUUCUUUCAAUUACUGUUUAAUAAUAGAACACUGACAUACGUGCAGAAAUGAGAGCAAAUGCUACUUAUCCACUUCUGUUUGGUUUUCUAGACAAAUCACGAAGUCUGAAUUUGAGUAUAUUUGAACCUUUUCCUUUGAAAUUGCUGUUAUUGUUCAGGUUAUUUUUUGAGACCAUGCUCCUUUGCUAAGAGAAUUUACUUUGGUUCUGAAAUAUGUUUCCUCCUGUUGUUCUGCACUUUUACCUGUAAGUUAAAGAAAAUUCCAUCUAUCCCAGUUUUGUUUUCUGUAAGUAAUUCCAUAACAGUGUAGUACUUGACAUGUGUUUGUUUCUUAGGCAAACGUGUAAAACUCUUCAAGUCCGAAUGGAGAAGUAGAGAAAGGAGGUUUCUGCUGUGCCUGAUGACAAUUUAUGAUUUUUCCACACAUACUAAAUAAUCUGGCUCCACGUUGGAGCACUAGUUGUGAUGAAUCCUAGUCAUGGUCGGAUUCUAAGGAAGGGCCAGAACGUUCGUUGAGGAAUAAAGAGUCAAACCACUCCAGAAAAUGUGUUCCAGCCCUGGUUUAUUACUCACAGAGCAGCAGGUAACCCGAUAGCUAAAGACAAAUCAAGUCGGUCUCAAGGCUGAUAACGUUAAAUACAGCACAUAGGAAUUUCAUUUCUCCAGGCAAUCCUUGAAGUGAAAUUUUGUACUGCUGGGGUGUAGCCUUCAGAAUCAAUUGUUUCAAUGAGAACCUGGUUUGUAAUCAACAACAGCCUUGAGAUCAAAACUACUGAAGAGUUAUUUUGAACUUCUGUAUCACAAAGAUUUCAACGGAGUGAACUGUGUACACUUGUAAAAUUGCACUUGCAGAGGAAUUUGCAGCUGUAAUCUCAAGAGAUGGUUUUUGAAAGGUGCAGAAAAUCAGCAAUCAUUCGGAUUCUUCUUUCCAGACUGGUGGCAUUUCAUCCUGAUGAAGUCACUCUCCAAAAUGCAUUGGUUCCUCCCCUCUAAAAUGAUCCCUGGUCCACAUUCCGAUUGCUGGUGGGACUGCACACUGCUUUAAUUAAAUUUCCAUUGCAGAAAUUGUCCUCUGGCAUGGCACAAUUUUAGACAUUUUUAUUUGUAAUCUAAUCUUGGAGCUCUAAAGGGUACAUAUUUCAACAUCUUGAAGUUGCUUUUGUUAUAGGAAUGGAAAUAUAUACCCAUUGUUAAUAAUUAUUGUUGACAAGUAAUAGUUAUCUGAAUACAUCAGUCAUAUUAGAAUGUAUAGUCGGGUUGACAUGUUUCCCUAAGGCUAACCAACUACUGCAGCUAUUUGGCAGUUAAAAAAAGUAGUGGUCAAAACUCAAUUACCACUUCCAUUAUAAAGCAUUUUAUACCUUUAAGAUAUAUAUUUCAAUUUACUUUGAAGGAGGCAAGUGUUCCUGCACUUUACUUUCCCAACCUUUAAAUCACUGAAAUUCAUGGUAAGCAGUCAAGGAAAGUGUUUCAUCCAUUUUUAUAAAAGUAGGCAGGGAUGUAAAUGAGUUUUUCAAUUAUGAAAUUGGGUGGUAAUCAUUCAGAUUUUUUUCUCUUUUCAGUGAAAAAUAAAAUCUCUUGCUUGAAACUAAGUACUGUUGGAUGCUUAUGUAGAUGUCUGCUCAGACUGAUUGCUAUAAAGGAAAAAUGUCCUAGUGCCCUCCUAGAUAUAGGGUUCAUGAGUAUUUUGCUUGCUUACUGUCCUCAAAUUCAAACCUAAUCUGUGCCAAAAUCACAUUUUCUUUUUUUAAUAUUCUAUUUCAGUAGCAAUUUUUUGAACCUUGUGAUGUGCUGUUACAUGAAAAAACCUCCAUAUUUAAAGGCCUUAAGCAUCUAUGAACUUUUUUUCUAAGUUAUCACAGAAUGUAUAAUUUUAUACUUCAUUUAGUGUAUAUUGUGCCAUCUGUAAUAUUGAUACAACAAAAAUUUGGCAAUUCCUUUUAAUGACACUACAUAAGCAUGCUAACUGAGAGUGAGAGAGUUCUGACUGUAUGCUUUUGUGCAUUAAAUGAUAAGCACACACACUUAAUGAUAGGCAAAAAAUAUAUAGGAUGAAGCUUAUUUAGAAGUCCUGUGUGGUUACCAAGCUCUCUGAAAAAAGAUGGAAAUGAUUUUUUCAUUACGAGCUAUUGACAUGGCAAGGUAAUUAUAUAUAAAGUUCCAUGAUGUUUGCAUACCUUGGAGGGAUCUGCCUGUCACGCUAUCCCCGGCUGCUCCAAAACCAUUUCAUUACCUCUGUUGUGUUACUGCACAGGAGAUCUUAAAGAAAAUAAAUGAUUGUUGGGAAUAAAAUUGAGAAAUAUCUUCUGUCAUUCUGCUGAGAAAUAAUAAAAAAUGUUGGCAGGGAAAAAUAUUCUUUUCUGAUUGAAAUUUAGUUAGGAUAAACUGUAGCAGCAAUUAGGUAUCUCGGUAUUUUAGGAUGGAUUAGUAAUGAAUGGAUUUGUGCUAACGGAUGAUGUGCUAAUGCAGGAUGGAAGGUAGCAUCUUAAAAAGACUGGGACAGUGCAAAGUAUUAAUGUGGUGUUUUGUAAAAUCUGAAUAUGAACUGUCUUUGGUUGAAGGUCCGCAUCAUGCUUCUCAAUAUCGUUUUAUUUGUUCCUUUGUUCUUAAACCAACACUGAAAAUACUGUAUUAUAUACAAGUGUAACACAUGCAUAUCAAUAAGUGAAAAUAAAUGGAUUUUCAAAUAUACCGAGUAGAUUAUCUGCAGUAGAUUAAUGUUGUGAUAAUUCAUAACAAGUGAAUAAAAUUGUGAUAUAAAACAGA